RNAcentral lists this small RNA (73 nucleotides) under Aquimarina intermedia. RNAcentral describes it as "Flavo-1 RNA". Lineage: Bacteria; Pseudomonadati; Bacteroidota; Flavobacteriia; Flavobacteriales; Flavobacteriaceae. The record is from RNAcentral.
CAGGGAUAGCAGUGUAAAUCCCGCCGUUUGACUUCAGUCAAUCAAGGAAUUGAAACGGAUAGCCCGCCCGGAC